CUCGCCUACACGAAGUUGGAAUUGCUAGUAAUCGUGGAUCAGCAUGCCACGGUGAAUACGUUCCCGGGUCUUGUACACACCGCCCGUCACACCAUGGGAGUCGGAAAUGCCCGAAGUCAGUGACCCAACCGUAAGGAGGGAGCUGCCGAAGGUGGAGCCGGUAACUGGGGUGAAGUCGUAACAAGGUAAC
RNAcentral lists this ribosomal RNA (190 nucleotides) under uncultured bacterium. Its description in RNAcentral is "partial 16S ribosomal RNA". It matches the Rfam family "Bacterial small subunit ribosomal RNA", at positions 1311 to 1500 of the family's 1533-position model. The record is from RNAcentral.